UCUCUGGUCUCUUUUAAUUUUUCUAAUUAUUUUAGUCUCGUAGAUCUAUAACUUUAUAAGUUAAUUUUCACAUGAGCUGGAUUGACCUUGUCUUCGUUUUUUUUUCAUCGUUGCAUGUUUAGGAGGUUUACUUCCAUGACAUAAUCUUCACAAUGCAUGCAUUAGGUUCUCGCAAAAAAUACAUCACAUCAAACUUUAUGGCUGCAAAAUUUUUGGAUUAAUUAACUUUUGUUCAAAGAGAUUAGUCUGAUGAAUUUAGUUUAAAGACUCGUUUACUUACCAUGCAUGCAUUGUUAGGCUGAUUUUCCCAUGAAAUAAUUUGAAUGAAUGAUAUUAAUCCAACAAACUGAUGUGAUUAAGAGCACUAAUUGUCUGGUAUCUUAAGGUAGAUCUCACUAAAAGUAAAAAAAGGUUAGGGUAAAUGCAUUUUCAAUAGUUCUAGGAAAAAUGCAUUUUCAAAAAUUGACCCCAAUGACCUCUUUAAAAGAUAAUAUAUCAUGAUUUUGGGUUACACAUUCGUCGAAUCUCUCGUGCCAGUUGGCUUUCAUGCACAAAACGUAUUUUCGUCCUGGCUUUCAUGCACAACAAUUUAUUUUCCUCCUUUUCUACUCUUUGCAAUUUUACGACUGUUUUAUCUAUACUAUUAAAGCAGGAUCCUAUUGUCCUUUUUACCUUGGUUCAAGGCAUGGUUUAUUGCAAGUCUUGCAAGUACUCCGGCAUUAAUACGCUCCUAGAAGCAUCUCCUCUUCAAGGUUGUUACAUUAUAAUCUCUGGUCUCUUUUAAUUUUUCUAAUUAUUUUAGUCUCGUAGAUCUAUAACUUUAUAAGUUAAUUUUCACAUGAGCUGGAUUGACCUUGUCUUCGUUUUUUUUUCAUCGUUGCAUGUUUAGGAGGUUUACUUCCAUGACAUAAUCUUCACAAUGCAUGCAUUAGGUUCUCGCAAAAAAUACAUCACAUCAAACUUUAUGGCUGC
RNAcentral lists this long non-coding RNA (972 nucleotides) under Brassica napus (rape). RNAcentral describes it as "long non-coding RNA (BNAP_LNC015172)". Lineage: Eukaryota; Viridiplantae; Streptophyta; Magnoliopsida; Brassicales; Brassicaceae. The record is from RNAcentral.